GGGGGGGGGGCGCACAAAAUGUUCCACCUUUUUGUUUUGAGUUUUACUGACUGGACAAGAGGAGAUAACAUCCUGCAAUUGUGUACGUAAUUCAUCCUCCAACCACAAGGGAGAAGAAAGCAACGGAGCACAUCGUUCAAUUCUAUCGGUGUAUGGGCUGGGCAGCUGCCUGCUGACUCCUGAUUGCAGAGAGACGGCUAAGCUGAGAGGCUCCAGGAGGUAGAAGUGACACUGGAUUCCGAGAAGCUGCUUGGAAGAGAGGCUCGACACAUCAAAUAGUACUC
Oncorhynchus mykiss (rainbow trout) is the source of this 284-nucleotide long non-coding RNA. RefSeq lists it as uncharacterized. NCBI's taxonomy places the organism in Eukaryota, Metazoa, Chordata, Actinopteri, Salmoniformes, Salmonidae. The record is from RefSeq and is a predicted model, not a curated record.